GGGAUUAUAGUUCAAUCGGUCAGAGCACCACCAUGUCAAGGCGGAAGCUGCGGGUUCAAGUCUUAUCAGUCCCG
Molecule: non-coding RNA, 74 nt
Organism: Nicotiana sylvestris (wood tobacco)
Lineage: Eukaryota; Viridiplantae; Streptophyta; Magnoliopsida; Solanales; Solanaceae
Source: Rfam